AUGCUUUCCAGGAAAGGGCCUGGCAUGCCAGUUUGCCCUGCUCGAUUCCCUGUGGUGCAGAGGGAACCAGCUGAACCUGUUCUUCCUGUGAUUCCUGGAAACAAAAUGGGCUGUUCUGAGAGGAUCUGCGAGCACUUGGAGCCCAGUGGCUUGCCCUUGUUCAGAAUGGACACCAAGGUGCAUGUAUAUGCAUGUAUGGGAAGGGAGCCAGCUGCACUAGGGCCUCUUGAGAUGCCUGGAAGUCAAAAUGUUGAAAGAGAGAAUCAAAUAUACAGGAAGAAGAAAAUCUUCUUGAAGACCUGUAUGCAUGGAUUUUUUGUUGGAUUACACUUCUAUAACCAUUGGAGCUAG
This 351-nucleotide long non-coding RNA is filed under the name Numida meleagris (helmeted guineafowl). RNAcentral's name for it is "lncRNA (ENSNMEG00000008594.1)". Lineage: Eukaryota; Metazoa; Chordata; Aves; Galliformes; Numididae. The record is from RNAcentral.